RNAcentral lists this ribosomal RNA (460 nucleotides) under uncultured bacterium. RNAcentral's name for it is "partial 16S ribosomal RNA". It matches the Rfam family "Bacterial small subunit ribosomal RNA", at positions 338 to 795 of the family's 1533-position model. The record is from RNAcentral.
CCUACGGGAGGCAGCAGUGAGGAAUAUUGGUCAAUGGGCGCUAGCCUGAACCAGCCAAGUAGCGUGAAGGAUGACUGCCCUAUGGGUUGUAAACUUCUUUUAUAUGGGAAUAAAGUGCAGUAUGUAUACUGCUUUGCAUGUACCUUAUGAAUAAGGAUCGGCUAACUCCGUGCCAGCAGCCGCGGUAAUUCGGAGGAUCCGAGCGUUAUCCGGAUUUAUUGGGUUUAAAGGGAGCGUAGGCGGGUUGUUAAGUCAGUUGUGAAAGUUUGCGGCUCAACCGUAAAAUUGCAGUUGAUACUGGCAUCCUUGAGUACAGUAGAGGUAGGCGGAAUUCGUGGUGUAGCGGUGAAAUGCUUAGAUAUCACGAAGAACUCCGAUUGCGAAGGCAGCCUGCUGGACUGUAACUGACGCUGAUGCUCGAAAGUGUGGGUAGCAAACAGGAUUAGAUACCCCUGUAGUC